AUGAAUGUAUCCCAAAGAGUAGUUUAAUAGAAAAGGCUGGCUUUGGGAGCGAGGGGUCGGGGUGCGAAU
This 69-nucleotide transfer RNA is filed under the name Dicentrarchus labrax (European seabass). Its description in RNAcentral is "tRNA-Pro". The record is from RNAcentral. Lineage: Eukaryota; Metazoa; Chordata; Actinopteri; Moronidae.